RNAcentral lists this ribosomal RNA (253 nucleotides) under uncultured bacterium. RNAcentral's name for it is "partial 16S ribosomal RNA". It matches the Rfam family "Bacterial small subunit ribosomal RNA", at positions 524 to 776 of the family's 1533-position model. The record is from RNAcentral. RNAcentral also lists the same sequence under 1 other name.
GACGAACCGUGCGAACGUUGUUCGGAUUCACUGGGCAUAAAGGGCGCGUAGGCGGACGGUCAAGUCGGGGGUGAAAUCUUUCAGCUUAACUGGAAAAGUGCCUCCGAUACUGACUGUCUCGAGGGAGGUAGGGGCAUGUGGAACUUCCGGUGGAGCGGUGAAAUGCGUAGAUAUCGGAAGGAACGCCGGUGGCGAAAGCGACGUGCUGGACCUCUUCUGACGCUGAGGCGCGAAAGCUAGGGGAGCAAACGGG